Non-coding RNA from Procambarus clarkii (red swamp crayfish), 345 nucleotides. Lineage: Eukaryota; Metazoa; Arthropoda; Malacostraca; Decapoda; Cambaridae. The record is from RefSeq and is a predicted model, not a curated record.
GGUGUGUGUGUGGCCAGCCUUCUGUAACAAUUACGACGAGGCGAUCUUAAUCUUUCGAAAUACCAGUGGAAGAUGGUUUGAUUAACGCCGUAGAGAAUUUCAGAAAUCGGCAUCAGGAUAGUAAUGAAAUUGAACCACCCAAGAAGUUAUUUCAGUCGUCGUCUGAGAAAUCAACAAACUUUGUCGUCGUCUUAAACUUUUUCUUUCUCGUCUAAAUGGCGUUUGUCAGGUUCAUUCACCUUAGCCACAAUAUACGAAUACACAGUAGUGGUAUUUUCCAAGGGUGGCUUGGAAUUAGCCAAUGCCUAGUGAAUGGUCCAGGACGGACCGACACGUCGUCGUCCC